Molecule: ribosomal RNA, 320 nt
Filed under: uncultured eukaryote
Lineage: Eukaryota
Description: partial 18S ribosomal RNA
Rfam family: Eukaryotic small subunit ribosomal RNA
Source: RNAcentral
CCCUUAGAUGUUCUGGGCCGCACGCGCGCUACACUGAACAGUUCAACAAGUCUUAACCUUGGCCGAUAGGUCUGGGUAAUCUUUGAACGCUGUUCGUGAUUGGGAUAGACCUUUGCAAUUAUGGGUCUUCAACGAGGAAUUCCUAGUAAACGCAAGUCAUCAGCUUGCAUUGAUUACGUCCCUGCCCUUUGUACACACCGCCCGUCGCACCUACCGAUUGAAUGGUCCGGUGAAAUCUCGGGACGGCGGCUUGGUCGCUUGCGUCCGACUGCUGAAACUUGAUUAAACCAUAUCAUUUAGAGGAAGGUGAGGUCGUAACA